GCGGUGCUGCGGGGUGCGUGUUGGAUCUGUAUUCCCGGGGCCUUAUCGAUCUCAAAGGGAGCUGUCCCUGGUCUUGCCCGUGGGCUCGACCACACGGCGCCCACCUACUUAGUAGGUUCCCGGGAUCGAUAUCCCACGGCCAUCGUGGCCCGUCU
This 155-nucleotide non-coding RNA is filed under the name Beijerinckia indica subsp. indica ATCC 9039. RNAcentral's name for it is "6S / SsrS RNA". It matches the Rfam family "6S / SsrS RNA". Rfam says of the family: E. coli 6S RNA was the first non coding RNA to be sequenced, but its function was unknown until recently. It consists of 184 nucleotides that fold into an extended hairpin structure with a large single-stranded internal bulge. The 6S RNA specifically associates with RNA polymerase holoenzyme containing the sigma70 specificity factor. The record is from Rfam by way of RNAcentral. Lineage: Bacteria; Pseudomonadati; Pseudomonadota; Alphaproteobacteria; Hyphomicrobiales; Beijerinckiaceae.